AACAAGGUCUCCGUUGGUGAACCAGCGGAGGGAUCAUUACAGAGUUACUACUCCAAACCCAUUGUGAACCUUACCUAUGUUCUGUUGCCUCGGCGGCGUGGUCAGCGCCCCCUCUGAAAAGAGGACGAUGCCCUCCCGCCGGCAGCACCAAACUCUUGAAUUUUACAGCGGAUUACAGUUCUGAUUUGAAAACAAAAAACAAGUUAAAACUUUCAACAACGGAUCUCUUGGUUCUGGCAUCGAUGAAGAACGCAGCGAAAUGCGAUAAGUAAUGUGAAUUGCAGAAUUCAGUGAAUCAUCGAAUCUUUGAACGCACAUUGCGCCCGGCAGUAAUCUGCCGGGCAUGCCUGUCCGAGCGUCAUUUCAACCCUCGAACCUCCGUUUCCUCAGGGAAGCUCAGGGUCGGUGUUGGGGCGCUACGGCGAGUCUUCGCGACCCUCCGUAGGCCCUGAAAUACAGUGGCGGUCCCGCCGCGGUUGCCUUCUGCGUAGUAAGUCUCUUUUGCAAGCUCGCAUUGGGUCCCGGCGGAGGCCUGCCGUCAAACCACCUAUAACUCCAGAUGGUUUGACCUCGGAUCAGGUAGGGUUACCCGCUGAACUUAAGCAUAUC
RNAcentral lists this unclassified non-coding RNA (609 nucleotides) under Pseudallescheria sp. E1. Its description in RNAcentral is "sequence contains ITS1, 5.8S rRNA gene, ITS2". The stretch from base 208 to 361 matches the Rfam family "5.8S ribosomal RNA". The record is from RNAcentral. Lineage: Eukaryota; Fungi; Ascomycota; Sordariomycetes; Microascales; Microascaceae.